RNAcentral lists this non-coding RNA (1203 nucleotides) under Pongo abelii (Sumatran orangutan). The record is from RNAcentral. Lineage: Eukaryota; Metazoa; Chordata; Mammalia; Primates; Hominidae.
AGGCACAAGGGAGGAAACAGAUCCAGAGAUGUCAUGAACUUGCCCAAGGAUGGAUCCUUAGGGUGUUGACUGCUGCAGUUUCAAGCUUACAUCUGCACCCUGCAAAAUCCAGAGGAAGAGACAAUGCCUGUUCCAGUGGCUCUCAAGAAAUUCUUUUCCAGCCAGGCAUGGUGGCUCAUGCCUGUAAUCCCAGCACUUUGGUAGGCUAAGUACUGGACUGGUUUUGAUGCUUUCACCAGUAACAGAAGCUCAAGCUGUGCUCAACUGACCCCCAAGGAUCCAGCCUGUCUCUGGGAUUCUCUAGGCCGUCCCAGAACUCCUACCAUGACCAGGGAAGUGUAGGGUUGGGGUUUGGCCCUAGACCUCUUAUCUGUCGACCUGCAAAGCCGUUUUAGUAACAGAUUUGGAAGCAAAGUAAGGUUUUUGAUGGCAGCUUGGUCACCAGCACUUCACUUAGGAACCAGUGCUGGGGAAGCGGGUGGGACAAUUUCUGAGUGUCUCCUGGGACAGACACAUAGGCCAUCGCUCCGCUAGGGGCAUGGACGGGUAUGUGUGGGUCAAAUUGCUAAAUAAUCUCCAAAGCUCAUUACAAUUAAUGGGCCGACCUAUUCCCCAAUGCCUGCUUUACUGGAAUUGUUCGGCCCCAUCCUUCCCCCAUAGUACAGUGAGCCAAUUUAAAUUUUCAGUGAAGCAGUUCUUCAGCACUUGUGCGAUAAUAAUCAGCUUACAGGUCAAGGACCUUGGCAAUUCACCAAGGAGAUUGUUACAUUUGAGCAAUUCACCAUUACAAUCCAUGGGCCCAGAGGUUCCAGGAGCUUGCUUCCAGCCACCUCCACCAGGAUGCCAGGCAUAAACAGGGUCUCGCCAUGUUGCCCAGGCUGGUCUCAAACUCCUGGACUCAAGCAAUCCUCCCACCUCAGCCUCCCAAAGUGGUGGGAUUACAGGCAUGAGUCACCACAGCCAGCCCAGUACCUGCUUUUAAGGAGUUCAUACCAACCAGAGUUCAAGCAAAAAAAAAAAAAAGGUCUACUUAAACUUUGAAAGAUGAGAUUGUUCAAAAAUGACACGAGAAAAUCACCCAUCACCACUAGGUUAAAGACUUGAAUAUGUGAGAGCUCCAGAGCCUCAAACUCCUACUACAGUCACUGAUCCAUAACAUUUUCCUCUUGCAAUAGACUCCACGCCAAAGUAGCACAGUCUUGC